RNAcentral lists this ribosomal RNA (821 nucleotides) under Bolbitius vitellinus. RNAcentral describes it as "eukaryotic LSU rRNA". It matches the Rfam family "Eukaryotic large subunit ribosomal RNA", at positions 73 to 881 of the family's 3401-position model. Lineage: Eukaryota; Fungi; Basidiomycota; Agaricomycetes; Agaricales; Bolbitiaceae. The record is from RNAcentral.
GAUUCCCCUAGUAACUGCGAGUGAAGCGGGAAAAGCUCAAAUUUAAAAUCUGGCAGUCUUUGAUUGUCCGAGUUGUAAACUAGAGAAGUGUUAUCUGUGCUGGACCGUGUAAAAGUCUCCUGGAAUGGAGCAUCAUAGAGGGUGAGAAUCCCGUCUUUGACAUGGACUACCAGUGCUUUGUGAUGCGCUCUCAAAGAGUCGAGUUGUUUGGGAAUGCAGCUCAAAAUGGGUGGUAAAUUCCAUCUAAAGCUAAAUAUUGGCGAGAGACCGAUAGCGAACAAGUACCGUGAGGGAAAGAUGAAAAGAACUUUGGAAAGAGAGUUAAACAGUACGUGAAAUUGCUGAAAGGGAAACGCUUGAAGUCAGUCGCGUCGGCCAGGAAUCAACCUUGCUUUUGCUGGGCGUACUUUCUGGUUGACGGGUCAGCAUCAAUUUUGACUGCUGGAAAAAGUUCAAGGGAAUGUGGCAUCUUCGGAUGUGUUAUAGCCCUUGUUCGCAUACAGCAGUUGGGAUUGAGGUACUCAGCACGCCGCAAGGCCGGGUUUCGACCACGUUCGUGCUUAGGAUGCUGGCAUAAUGGCUUUAAUCGACCCGUCUUGAAACACGGACCAAGGAGUCUAACAUGCCUGCGAGUGUUUGGGUGGAAAACCCAAGCGCGCAAUGAAAGUAAAAGUUGAGAUCCCUGUCAUGGGGAGCAUCGACGCCCGGACCAGAGCUUUUGUGACGGAUCUGCGGUAGAGCAUGUAUGUUGGGACCCGAAAGAUGGUGAACUAUGCCUGAAUAGGGUGAAGCCAGAGGAAACUCUGGUGGAGGCUCGUAGC